RNAcentral lists this long non-coding RNA (1022 nucleotides) under Triticum aestivum (bread wheat). RNAcentral describes it as "long non-coding RNA (TAES_LNC027055)". The record is from RNAcentral. Lineage: Eukaryota; Viridiplantae; Streptophyta; Magnoliopsida; Poales; Poaceae.
CGGUUAUUCACUAUUCGGUCUUCGGUCUUUAUUAUUCGGUCUUCGGUCCCGACCAAACAGACCAAAUAAAUUGCUAGAACUCAGAUUUAUGUUACUUCCAGUACUUGUUGAAUACAAACUACAUAGAGUACAGAGAUGCAUGUGUGUACAAAGGGGUGUGUGUACAGAGACAACAAAUGUUUGUAUAGAGGCGCCUGUGUACAUAAAUGCAUCAUCUUUCUCAUUCAACUCCUCAUGUUCAGAUUCCAGUAGAAAGCAUCUACAAAAAAAAUGUUACUUAUUAUUGAACCAUUCCUUCAUCUAACCAGUACAGACGAACAUACAAACUAACAAAGAUUAUAGGCUAGUACAUAAACCCGCAUGACACCAGUCUGCUAUGAAUAUACAAGCUGUGGUAUUUCAGAUAACGUGGUUAUUUUGGAGUAUUAAAAAAACAACCACAAACCUCUUUAUUUUUAACCAAGCAUGAAGAACAGCAGCUGACGUGUUCUGUUUCUUACAGAACAGCAGGUGCAGCACGGCUAGUAACCUCAAUGGAUUGUGAUGUUACGUCUAGCAUACAAGCUACAAAUUUUGUACGCCUUCAUACAAAUGUAUUUGGAUUAUUCUUUUAGCUGCCAGUUACAUCACAUAACUCCAAAAAUAAACAUAGUAAAUACCCGCAAGGCCAAAUGCCUCUAUGUUUUGCCGAUACUGCAAAGUACCAAAGUAUUUGUACACCGUGGUAUUUCGUGCUUACAGCUUCUAAUACUGUGGUUUCUGAGGACUAUGGUUUUCUAAAUAUUGUGCAUCCAAACACAGCCUAAUUGAUUCACAUAAAUGAAUAAGAAUCUGGACAUCACAUAUGCACACAGAGAGAUCAAGUACCUUGCUCACCUUCAGCUGCUAGGUAGAGCACCGGAAGAACAGCAGCCGGCGAUACGUCAACCAUCCUGGAAGAGGACGAGAGGUGGUGACGAACUGCAGCAGCCAAGAGCUACAAUUAUCGUCAGGAGAUGGAGCACCGUUGGCAGAUGGCUGCG